GAUCUUCUCCAGCAGGUGGUGGUAUGUCGAGAGGUCCUGGCCGCUCACCAGUUUCACCAGUUCGCUGGGUCUGGCGGGUUCUUUCACGAACGGCGGAGGUUCGGGCGGCUCCCACGGCUCGGGAACGGGCUCCAUGGCUUCAAAUGUGAGCGCUAAAGGAAGUUGUGCAAUAUCUAACAGUGGCAUCUGCGACAGGCAGACAAAAGGUGUGACAAUGGCAGACAGGAGCUGAUUGAUGUUGUCCAUGUUAACAUUGAAGUCAUUCACAGCUACCAGACAGUCACCUAUGGGCAAACAGACCGUGUACAAUUUUAAAAUUACAAGGUAGCUGGAACUGGACACCAAAGACUCAAUGUCACAAGAAUGUAUCUACAUGUAUUGUCAGUACACCACAACAAAGCAACCUAGCCUUAAGCACAUAUGUACGUACAUCAGUGCUGGAGAAAUGCAUUAAGUUGAUUAACUGAUUAGUGAAACACAAAAGGGUACAAGUAGAUGUGCAGCAACAAAAUCUUCAACAGCAUUCAAAAAACAUACUAAACAGAGCAAUGAGAUACAAGAUAGCAAUGCAAAUCAAAUUUUACAUUACAAAAAACAAAUGAUAUAUCGUACGUGGUGCAUCUCUAACACCAAAGCAGAAAGCAGCUUAAAAACUUGAUUUCAAUGACUCCAAAGUAAAAUAGUUGCAGGAAAAAGACAAUCUUGUAAUGUUAGUCAAUGAGUUAGACAAUGUUGACAACAGAUCACAUUCAUGUCAAAUACAGGUUACAACAGAACACACAUACACAGGGUACCUAUA
Branchiostoma floridae (Florida lancelet) is the source of this 799-nucleotide long non-coding RNA. RefSeq lists it as uncharacterized. The transcript has 4 exons. NCBI's taxonomy places the organism in Eukaryota, Metazoa, Chordata, Leptocardii, Amphioxiformes, Branchiostomatidae. The record is from RefSeq and is a predicted model, not a curated record.